GUGUAAAACACAGUCACCUUAAAAUAAACAUAGAGGGAAAAAUGUAUCAGCUGUAUAAAUAGGCAAACCACAAGAAAAAAAAAAAAAUGUAAUGCUAGGACUGUGAAUAGAAAGUGCUUGUAUGCAAAGGAGAUGCCCUUAUUUUUCCCUUGUAGAAUCCAAUCAUUUAAACAGCUGGCCUAUUCUGUUACAUGGUGAUUUUAAAAACAUAAUUUCUUUAUGUGACUAAUGAGGUCUUUUCUUAUCCUAGGCUACUGUGUGUUGUAUGUGCAUGUGAAAAUGUUUUGGAUCAUUGUGUGUAGCCGCUGUGGCCAUUCUUUCAGCAGGAAUUCCACCUCUGGUAUCACAAUAGCUGUGAUCACAACUCCAUGCUGAUCAUCACCAGAGUCCAGUGUUCAAUUCAGAGGCAAUGUCAAAACGAGCAAGAGAAGAGAAGGAAAGAGAAAGAGAAGAGAAACCAGCCUGGAUUGAUUUAAAGAGCAGCCUAGCUUUUAUAGAAAGCAUAAGGAGUAGGAGUCCAAAAGCAAGCAUAUGCAGAGAGCCAUAUCUUAAAUACACGUCUUUCUGUGGACUUAAGGCUCCAAGAAGGUGAGAAAUGUAUUCACCUAGAGCACAUACUGUUGAACAAAUGAUGGACAGACAGCACUGAGUUCUUAUAGAAAGCAAAGACACAAAAAUUCACAGCUUCUCCAAUUCAUGCUGAAGGAGCACAACAUGAUUUUUUGAUACUCCGGCAAUAGUGUCUGACAACAGUAAAGGUUUAUAUGUCUCUAAAAACUGCAGGUAAUCAUAGCUUUUCUGAGG
This is a non-coding RNA of Phasianus colchicus (ring-necked pheasant), 804 nucleotides long. The record is from RefSeq and is a predicted model, not a curated record. Lineage: Eukaryota; Metazoa; Chordata; Aves; Galliformes; Phasianidae.